Molecule: transfer RNA, 68 nt
Filed under: Coomaniella copipes
Lineage: Eukaryota; Metazoa; Arthropoda; Insecta; Coleoptera; Buprestidae
Description: tRNA-Val
Source: RNAcentral
CAAAUUUGAGCUUGAGAGAAAGCAUUUUAUUUACAUUAAAAAGUUAUCGUGCGAUUCGAUAAAUUUGA